RNAcentral lists this long non-coding RNA (2973 nucleotides) under Mus musculus (house mouse). RNAcentral describes it as "long non-coding RNA chr16:16360208-16363181". The record is from RNAcentral. Lineage: Eukaryota; Metazoa; Chordata; Mammalia; Rodentia; Muridae.
GGUUACUUACCAUUCACCUGCAACAUAUGCCAUAGGAGACAGGCUUUACUGUUCAGAACACAGAUGGUGGCUGGUUAAUAAGUUUUGAAAAACACAUAAAUGAAAGACUCUGAAGAUCCAGAAGUGAUUUUUGGACAUCUUGGCAAAUGUUGUGACCUUCCCUUUUGUCUUUUAAAAACAAAGAUUUCAGAAUCCAAAACCAAGUGCAGCAGCAUAUAUGUAACCUCAGACUGAGAAGGCAGAGGCAAGAGUCAGCUCUAUUGUCUCCAUAGUGAGCUCCAGCCUAGCCAGAGAUAAAUAAAGUACCCUAGGAAAAAUGAUGCAUUUAUACUUGAUUUUCCUUUGUCUUUUACUGUGUGCUAAGAGCUAGUUUGGUAAAAUUGAUAUACAUACAUAUUACCAAAGCCAACAUGUCAUAGAUUGGUAUGGUAUAUGUUCCUACUCAAAUUAUCUUUUCUCUGGUAACAGAACACAUAUAGUCUUAUAUAUUAUCAUGUAGCUUUUUGUAAGAGAAAAAAUAAUCCCACAGGCAGUGCUUAAGAAAGUCUACCAGUACAUUACUGCCAGGAUUGCCCAGAGCAAUCAGACAUAAGAGGAAAGAAACAGGAAGGGAUGAGGCCUAAAUAUUAUUACACACACACACACACACACACACACACACACACACACACACACACACACACAAAGAUAAUCUGAAAGUAGACACAGGCCCCCAUUCCUAACUCAGGUGCAGGUACUAUCUCCAAUUGAUAACUGCUCACAAAAAAAAAAAAAAAAAAAAAAAAAAGGUUUCUCCAAGGGAGUUUCUUCUUCAGAGGUGUUUUCUGAGCCUUAGUGAGGGAUGUGAGUUUGUGUGUGAGUGUAUAUGUGCAUGUAUGCAUAUAUGUUUACAUAUGUGUAAAUGUGUGUGUGUGUCCAAGGUGGUGGGGGUGAUAAAAUGCUCCUUUUGCAGCUCAAUGCUUAGUUUUUAUUCCCAACACUCUGGCCAGUUUUAGUCUUUGUAUUGCCUGCUGCCUGCUGCAAAAAGCUUCUCUGGGCACGAUUAAAAGCAGCCAACAUUUAUGGCUGUUAACUUAAGUAUGUAGAAGGAAAUUUGACAAUAUGACCAUUUAGUAAAACAACUAUUACUUUCUAAGCCAUAGAUUCUUAAUAGGAUUAGAAUAUAAGGCAUAAAAUGUUCUCCUGUAGAAUAUUCAAUCAGAAAGACAUUACUUAUGUUCUAAUAGUUGCGCAAUUAUUGUAUGACCUGGCACACCUUGCCUGGCAGCUCAGUUCUGUAGCAUACAGGGUUGAAGACUAGGUAUGAUCAUUAAUGUAUUUUCUUGCCCAAAAGCCUGGGAAAUAUAAAACCUGGACACCAGGGAAUUUCCUGGACAGUUUAGGAUUGACUUUUUUCUUGCAGUCAAAGUUUGUGUUGUUUCUGCCACAUCAUCAUGAGUAACCAAGGAUGAUGGCAAUAGCCUGUGUUGUUGUGAACACUUCUGGGGGUUCCCUGACCAAUAAUUUCUAGGAUAGUAUCUAAUGCUUACACUGUGAUUUUUAUAGUAGCUCAUGGUGUCUGGGAGUAGCACUGUCUAUACAUGUGUGGUGCUUCUGUUCAAACUCCCUGUUGUUUACAUUGAUAUUUUGAAAUUAGUUUGCUAACUCCUGUGUUUCCAUAAGAAUAUUCAUAUAUCCUUAGUUUUGAUUUGCAUUUCCCAAUGACUAAGGACAUUGAACAUUACUUUAACUGCUUUUCAGCCAUUUGAGUUUACUCUUUUGAGAAUUCUUUGAGUAGACCUCAUUUUUAAUUCAAUUGUUUUCUUGAUGUCUACUUUGGUUUUUUUUUUUUCUAGCUCUUUAUAUAUUUUAGAUAUUAGCCUGCCAGGAGGCCUUCCCUGGCCAUUUGACAGGGUGGCCUGAGAGGAGACAGAGAGUUUGAGAGGGAGGAAUGAGUCAGGAAGGGUGGUCUUGCAACUCUGACUGACUAGUAUUCGGGUCACUUUCACAGAACACAGAACACAGAACACAGACCACGGACAGACUCAUUAUCUAAGAAGUACAGAUUAUAUAGUUUUUAUCUCUGGACAUAUGUUUGACUUUUCAUUACAUGUCAGGGCUUACAAAUUCAGUCACAAUUAGAAAGUACAAAUAGAGCAGAUUUUAAUUUUAUUAUCAGCUUUAUAACUCUAAUUUAAGGAAUCUAAAGAAUGUCUCCUACAAAUCAAGCACAUUAUAUGACAGCCUGUUUUUAGGUUGGCAGUAUUUUUUUAUUUUGAAAACAGUCUACACAAACAGAAAAUACCUGUUUGUUUGGUUUUUUGGGUUUUUUUGGGUUUUUUUUUGUUUUUUGUUUUUUUUUUUUUUUUUUUUUUUUGGUUUUUGGUGUUUGGUUUUUUGAGACAGUGUUUCUCUGUAUAGCCCCAGUUGUCCUGGAACUCAUUCUGUAGACCAAGCUGGUCUUGAACUCAGAAAUCCACCUUGCCUCUGCCUCCCAAGUACUGGGAUUAAAGGCUCGAGACACCACUGCCCAGCACAGAAAAUAUCUGAACCAGUCUCUUUAUGAACAACAAAUACUAAAACCUAGCUUCUUUUACUACAUGUUUCAUUAUCUAUGCUACAAAGUAUGAAUGAUUUAGUUUAGUCCAUCUAUCUAAUUUACCUAGUUCUAUUCCUCCAGGGGUGUACCCUGUAUGAUUCUCUAUCUUUAAACUGCAUUUUCAGAGGGCUCUGAGCAUAUACUAAAGAUGACCUACAGAAACUCUUGCUACUUCUGUCAUUUCCUGCUGCACAAUGUUGCCAUUUUUUAAGGCCAAUAUGAAUGUGGGCAGAGCCAAUUCACCCCAUCUCCUCUUUAAGAGAAAUGGAGGGAGGAUGAUAUGACAUGCAAACAACUUUAUUGAGUGGGUACUGUUUGCCCAGGGAUGUAAUGGUGUUUAUUCUGGUAAGCUAUAUCAUUUCUUGCUCGGGUAUCAUUAAAGCAUGUUUUUCUUG